RNAcentral lists this transfer RNA (73 nucleotides) under Cricetulus griseus (Chinese hamster). It matches the Rfam family "tRNA". From Rfam's summary of the family: Transfer RNA (tRNA) molecules are approximately 80 nucleotides in length. Their secondary structure includes four short double-helical elements and three loops (D, anti-codon, and T loops). The record is from Rfam by way of RNAcentral. Lineage: Eukaryota; Metazoa; Chordata; Mammalia; Rodentia; Cricetidae.
GAGGAUGUAGUUCAAUUAGUAGAGAACUUGCCUGGCAUGCAGGAAGUCCUGGGUUCAAUCCCCACCGUUGUCU